UUCCCCGGGGAGAGGGGCUGCCCGCCGGGCUUUCGGUUGUUCCGGCGGGGUCCCCAGGGGACCCGCCUGCAACGGGCUCUCAGAGUAAAACUGAAUGAGAAAAAAACCCCAGACUCGCCCACAGUGGCGGAAGGCGCAAAGCAAUAGGGGAUUUUGGCAAAGAGUGGAGGGGCCCAGAGACGACUCAAUUUCCCCUCCUGCCCUCCGCAGCUCUUCUCCGGAGCCCGGCACGCCGCCCCGGUCCGCGCAGCACCCCCCCCGCCCCGCCACAUGAGGUAGAGACCUUCAACUUUAAAGUUCGACUUCGGACGCUUCCAACUCGAACAAGAUCCUGUGAUCUUAGUGAUCUCUACACCCAACAUGAGGCUCAAACUCACAACCUGGAGAUCAAGAGUCACAUGCUCCACCAGCUGAGCCAGUCGGGCGCCCCUCCGCAGUUUCAUCACCUGCAAAAUAAGCACAAUAAUGGCACCUACUUAGCAGUUUGACACAUAA
Mirounga angustirostris (Northern elephant seal) is the source of this 495-nucleotide long non-coding RNA. RefSeq lists it as uncharacterized. The record is from RefSeq and is a predicted model, not a curated record. Lineage: Eukaryota; Metazoa; Chordata; Mammalia; Carnivora; Phocidae. The transcript has 3 exons.